RNAcentral lists this ribosomal RNA (565 nucleotides) under uncultured Glomeromycotina. RNAcentral describes it as "SSU rRNA". It matches the Rfam family "Eukaryotic small subunit ribosomal RNA", at positions 548 to 1114 of the family's 1831-position model. The record is from RNAcentral. Lineage: Eukaryota; Fungi; Glomeromycota.
UUGGAGGGCAAGUCUGGUGCCAGCAGCCGCGGUAAUUCCAGCUCCAAUAGCGUAUAUUAAAGUUGUUGCAGUUAAAAAGCUCGUAGUUGAAUUUCGGGGUCAGUAGGUUGGUCAUGCCUCUGGUAUGUACUGGUCUCACUGAUUCCUCCUUCCUGAUGAGCCGUAAUGCCAUUAAUUUGGUGUUGCGGGGAAUUUGGACUGUUACUUUGAAAAAAUUAGAGUGUUUAAAGCAAGCUAACGCUUGAAUACAUUAGCAUGGAAUAAUGAAAUAGGACGUUCGAUCCUAUUUUGUUGGUUUCUAGGAUUGACGUAAUGAUUAAUAGGGAUAGUUGGGGGCAUUAGUAUUCAAUUGUCAGAGGUGAAAUUCUUGGAUUUAUUGAAGACUAACUACUGCGAAAGCAUUUGCCAAGGAUGUUUUCAUUAAUCAAGAACGAAAGUUAGGGGAUCGAAGACGAUCAGAUACCGUCGUAGUCUUAACCAUAAACUAUGCCGACUAGGGAUCGGAUGAUGUUAAUUUUUUAAUGACUCAUUCGGCGCCUUACGGGAAACCAAAGUGUUUGGGUUC